GAUGAACGCUGGCGGCGUGCCUAAUACAUGCAAGUCGAGCGAACAGACGUGGAACUUUCUCUUCUUACGUUUUCGUCGGACGGGUGAGUAUAACGUGGAUACCCUCCCUAUAUGACUGGGAUAACUUCGGUAAACCGGAGCUCUUACCCGGUAUUCUAUCCAACCUCAUGGUUCAAUCGUGAUAGACGGUUUUCCUUUUAUUUAUAGUUUGAUCCGCGCCGCAUUAUCUAGUUGGUAAGGUAACGGCUUACAAAGGCAACGAUGCGUAGCCGACCUGGGAGGGUGAUCGGCAAAACUGGAACGGGACAAGGGUCAAAACUCCUAGGGGAGGAAGAAGGGGGGAAUCUUCGGAAAUGAGCGAAAGCCUGACGGAGAAAGGCCGCGUGAGGGAGGAAGGUCUUCGGAUCGUAAAACUCGGUUAUUAGGGAAGAACAAAUGUGUAAGUAAAUAGGGACGACUUGACGGUACCUAAACAGAAAGCCACGGCUAACUACGUG
Molecule: ribosomal RNA, 497 nt
Filed under: uncultured bacterium
Lineage: Bacteria
Description: partial 16S ribosomal RNA
Rfam family: Bacterial small subunit ribosomal RNA
Source: RNAcentral